This 217-nucleotide microRNA precursor is filed under the name Glycine max (soybean). Its description in RNAcentral is "miR10436 stem-loop (gma-MIR10436)". The record is from miRBase by way of RNAcentral. Lineage: Eukaryota; Viridiplantae; Streptophyta; Magnoliopsida; Fabales; Fabaceae.
UAAAGAAAAAUCUUGGCAACACAACUUUUAACAUGCUCUUUUGCACACAUUUUUUAUUAUUGGUUGAAAUUUAUUGAAAAUCACAAAUUUUAUGGAUCACACCUCUCAUUUAAUGACUCUUGUUCCUGAUUUUAUAGUUUUCAAUAAAUUUCAAUGAGAGAAUGUGUAUUAAGAGAAAUGUAUUAGAGAAUGUGUUGCUAACACUUCUCUUCUUUAA